Molecule: ribosomal RNA, 253 nt
Filed under: uncultured bacterium
Lineage: Bacteria
Description: partial 16S ribosomal RNA
Rfam family: Bacterial small subunit ribosomal RNA
Source: RNAcentral
UAAGGCGGACGCAAGCGUUGUUCGGAAUCACUGGGCGUAAAGCGCGUGUAGGCGGCUUGGCAAGUCGGAUGUGAAAUCCCGAGGCUCAACCUCGGAACUGCACUCGAAACUGCCUGGCUCGAGUCCCGGAGAGGGUGGCGGAAUUCCCGGUGUAGGGGUGAAGUCCGUAGAUAUCGGGAGGAACACCAGUGGCGAAGGCGGCCACCUGGACGGUGACUGACGAUGAGACGCGAAAGCGUGGGGAGCAAACAGG